This 484-nucleotide ribosomal RNA is filed under the name uncultured bacterium. RNAcentral's name for it is "partial 16S ribosomal RNA". It matches the Rfam family "Bacterial small subunit ribosomal RNA", at positions 28 to 523 of the family's 1533-position model. The record is from RNAcentral.
GACGAACGCUGGCGGCGUGCUUAACACAUGCAAGUCGAACGAUGAACCCGGAGCUUGCUCCGGCGGAUUAGUGGCGAACGGGUGAGUAACACGUGAGUAACCUGCCCUUGACUCUGGGAUAACUGCUAGAAAUGGUAGCUAAUACCGGAUACGACCCUCGGUGGCAUCACCAGGGGGUGGAAAGAAUUUCGGUCAAGGAUGGAUUCGCGGGCUAUCAGCUAGUUGGGGAGGUAACGGCUCACCAAGGCGACGACGGGUAGCCGGCCUGAGAUGGGGACCGGCCAAACUGGGACUGAGACACGGCCCAGACUCCUACGGGAGGCAGAAGUGGGGAAUAUUGCACGAUGGGCGCAAGCCUGAUGCAGCAACGCCGCGUGAGGGAUGACGGCCUUCGGGUUGUAAACCUCUUUUAGUAGGGAAGAAGCGAAAGUGACGGUACCUGCAGAAAAAGCACCGGCUAACUACGUGCCAGCCGCCGCGGUAA